UACGAAGGGUGCAAGCGUUAAUCGGAAUUACUGGGCGUAAAGCGUGCGCAGGCGGUUUUGUAAGUCUGACGUGAAAUCCCCGGGCUCAACCUGGGAAUUGCGCUGGAGACUGCAAGGCUAGAAUCUGGCAGAGGGGGGUAGAAUUCCACGUGUAGCAGUGAAAUGCGUAGAGAUGUGGAGGAACACCGAUGGCGAAGGCAGCCCCCUGGGUCAAGAUUGACGCUCAUGCACGAAAGCGUGGGGAGCAAACAGG
This 253-nucleotide ribosomal RNA is filed under the name uncultured bacterium. RNAcentral describes it as "partial 16S ribosomal RNA". It matches the Rfam family "Bacterial small subunit ribosomal RNA", at positions 524 to 776 of the family's 1533-position model. The record is from RNAcentral.